This 231-nucleotide long non-coding RNA is filed under the name Homo sapiens (human). RNAcentral's name for it is "non-protein coding lnc-SMCO3-2:1". The record is from RNAcentral. Lineage: Eukaryota; Metazoa; Chordata; Mammalia; Primates; Hominidae.
ACCCAAGAGGAGACUGGUUGCAGUUGAGGUCAACUGGGAACCUGAGCACAUAUAACUGUCAGCUGCUAAAACUUCCAGCAAGAAAUGCAUCCCUGAUCCUAUAGCUAUUGCAUCUCUCUCCUUUUUGACCAGUGUCAUCAUCUUUUCCAAAAGCAGAGUAUAAAGAAAUCUUGUGGCUCCUUUUAUUUAAAAAAAAUAUUUAAAUAAAAUCUUUUUUAUUGGCCUUUUGGC